ACUAGAUUAUUUAAUUUUAUAGAUUGCCUAUUAUAUAAAGGUUUGCUUUGUAUUGUUUUUAUUGAUUCAACCCUUUUAAUAAAAAUCUACUUUUUAAAUUUGUUGAAUCCUUUGUUCUUUGGAACAUCGUAAUGCUACGAGAGUGAUCUCCGUAAGCACGGUCUUGUUCACUAGUGGGGCUGCCUCUCACAGACUAAGACCAACCCAGCAAGUAUCUGGCCUUCCGCAGCCUUAUACUGAAGAACCAUCGAUCCACCUUUCCUUUAAUCCAUCUUUGGGUCAAAGCUUAUCCUUUUCACCAACCUUCGAGUGCAUUCCUUGGGAGAUUUUCUAUUAUUUGGUAUCAGAGCACACUUGAGGGUUCGGCGUUCACUUUUGUCAUUCAUCAUUCUCAUCUUUCCAUCUUCUACAAAAAAAAAAAAAAAAAAAAAAAAAUCCACGAGAAAACAAGAGAUCAUUCCAUCUGAAGUUAAACCGAGACUGCUCCUCCAUCUCUCGUAAUGGCUCUAGGAGAUUGCUUCUCCAAAAGCAACCUGUUUUGAUCACUAGUGGGGCUGCCUCUCACGGUCACAGGUUCUAAACAUUAAGUCGGAUUUGAGGGCAAAUCCUUUUGAAGGAGGAGGGGAUGAUGUGACCUUGUUCAGGAACAAGCAAAUCAAGAGAAGUCCAAAAAAAAAAAGGCUCACCAAGAAAAUACAAGCCAAUGUCGUAUAAUAUAUCAAUCUGACGGCAAUUCAGAGACCGUCGAUCAUGCAAAAGGAUGCGACCAGCCAAGGAAUUCUGCGAACACAAUUUCCAAAAUUCAGUCAACAGUCUUGGUCUUUGGUCAAGUCAAUAUUCCUAGUCAAGUCUUCAUAGUUUUAAGAGCUUUAUAGUUUCAAGGAUUGACUAGAUUAUUUAAUUUUACAGACUGCCUAUUAUAUAAAGGUUUGCUUUGUAUUGUUUUUAUUCAUUCAACCCUUUUAAUAAAAUCUACUUUUUAAAUUUGUUGAAUCCUUUGUUCUUUGAACAUCGUAAUGCUACGAGAGUGAUCUCCGUAAGCACGGUCUUGUUCACUAGUGGGGCUGCCUCUCACGGACUAAGACCAACCCAGCAAGUAUCUGGCCUUCCGCAGCCUUAUACUGAAGAACCAUCGAUCCACCUUUCCUUUAAUCCAUCUUUGGGUCAAAGCUUAUCCUUUCACCAACCUUCGAGUGCAUUCCUUGGGAGAUUUUCUAUUAGAUACUCCAUCCCCACUUGAAGCCGGCUAAGUUCAUGAAGGAGAGAGAGGCAAAAGCUCACAUGACUGAAG
Molecule: long non-coding RNA, 1291 nt
Filed under: Brassica rapa (field mustard)
Lineage: Eukaryota; Viridiplantae; Streptophyta; Magnoliopsida; Brassicales; Brassicaceae
Description: long non-coding RNA (BRAP_LNC008144)
Source: RNAcentral